UGACGAGUUUGAUCCUGGCUCAGAUUGAACGCUGGCGGAAUGCUUUACACAUGCAAGUCGAACGGUAGAGGGGGCAAACCCCUCGAGAGUGGCGAACGGGUGAGUAAUAUAUCGGAACGUGCCCAGUCGUGGGGGAUAACGUAGCGAAAGUUACGCUAAUACCGCAUACGAUCUAAGGAUGAAAGCGGGGGAUCGCAAGACCUCGCGCGAUUGGAGCGGCCGAUAUCAGUAUUAGGUAGUUGGUGGGGUAAAGGCUCACCAAGCCAACGAUCGUGUA
RNAcentral lists this ribosomal RNA (277 nucleotides) under uncultured Limnohabitans sp. Its description in RNAcentral is "partial 16S ribosomal RNA". It matches the Rfam family "Bacterial small subunit ribosomal RNA", at positions 1 to 285 of the family's 1533-position model. Lineage: Bacteria; Pseudomonadati; Pseudomonadota; Betaproteobacteria; Burkholderiales; Comamonadaceae. The record is from RNAcentral.